UACGGAGGAUUCAAGCGUUAUCCGGAUUUAUUGGGUUUAAAGGGUGCGUAGGCGGACUGUCAAGUCAGCGGUAAAAUACGGGGGCUCAACCUCCGCCCGCCGUUGAAACUGACGGUCUUGAGUGGGCGAGAAGUAUGCGGAAUGCGUGGUGUAGCGGUGAAAUGCAUAGAUAUCACGCAGAACUCCGAUUGCGAAGGCAGCAUACCAGUCUGCGACUGACGCUCAGGCACGAAAGCGUGGGGAUCGAACAGG
Molecule: ribosomal RNA, 252 nt
Filed under: uncultured Bacteroidales bacterium
Lineage: Bacteria; Pseudomonadati; Bacteroidota; Bacteroidia; Bacteroidales
Description: partial 16S ribosomal RNA
Rfam family: Bacterial small subunit ribosomal RNA
Source: RNAcentral